Non-coding RNA from Drosophila suzukii, 2169 nucleotides. The record is from RefSeq and is a predicted model, not a curated record. NCBI's taxonomy places the organism in Eukaryota, Metazoa, Arthropoda, Insecta, Diptera, Drosophilidae.
UUACUCUACGAGUAACGGGUAUAAUGAAUGCAAAAAUUGAAAAAUUAAACGAACACAGAGUCCAACCAAUCUCAGUCAGUGUAGAUGAUAUAGUAUUUAGAAAAGAAACACAAGAAACAGAAGAAACGAGCUCACUCCUCGCUUUUCCCAACAUCAAGUACUAAAAGACAACAAGAUCACACUAAUUUCUACUAGAAAACAAAAGUUACACAAAGCUAAAAUAAAAAACAGGAUUAAACAAACCCAACUCCAAUUGAUCUUACAGAUUCGCGUUCAUCGCAGCCCAGGACUUAAAGGUCCAACAUUUAGGAAACAACACCCCUUGUUAAAAAUAAAUCUGGGACAGCCCAAAAUAAUACAAUCGCAUAAAUACCUUACACAUAGAAUUACCCUACAGGAUUUUAUUGACGGUGUGAUUAACUUUGAGAGAGCAAUUAACCAGCUAAAAAAGAGCUCAGAUUCAAACGACGCAAUCGAAAGUCUAUCAGCGAAACUUCAGCAACUAAAAGUCAGAGUAGAAAUGCUAUUACCUAAAAAGAGACAAAGACGUGGACUUAUUAAUGGACUAGGUAGCGUCGUAAAAAUAGUGAAAGGAAAUUUAGACGACGCGGACGGACGUAGAAUCAAUGACAACUUAAAAACGAUUACAGAAAAUCAAAAAUGAAAUAACAGCAAACGCAAAUAAAGAGGAGAGAAUUAACAACGACAUGAAAGCAAGAUUUGACCAUAUUACGGUUCAUAUUAACAAAGAACAACAAAUAAUUAACUACUUCUUGAACAAUUAUAAAAAUACUAUUUCCAAAACUGUUAAAAAAUAUGUUCAAAACCGUAAACUCUGAACAGCAUCUCCUACACACUUUACAAUAUAUAUCCCGAAUUAAUAUGAAUAUAGGCGUACUGUCAAACUAUUUAAGUAAUAUAGAGGAAAGCCUGCUAUUAGCCAAAUUAAACAUUGUACCAAAUUUCAUUGUAUCAGAAGAAGAAUUAACUGUAAUCAGACAAGAGUUAGAUGACCCCCAAUUACGCAACAUGUCCAACGAACACAUCCUCGAGAUGUUAGAAUUAGAUAGUUUUAUGAACUAAAUUAAGAUCAAUUUUAGAAUUAAAACAAAAUAUUCACCAAUUUACACAUAUUAUUAUUAUAUAUAUUAUUAUUAUUAUUCCGCUACCUAUAAAUGGUUCCAAAUUUUUAAUCUUACCCAACUAUAUGGCAUACUAUAAUGGGAAAGACAUGUAUUACUUCACGAACAAAUGUAGUAAGGUUUAUAAAUAUUUUAUCUGCAAAAACUCUAUAUCAACCAAAAAUAACAUUCAAACCGGUUGCCUCGAAUAUAUAUUCACACUGAAGACUGCAAAUUGUAAAGCCAAAGAUGUGGAAAUCCAAGAAGUAAUUACAAAAAUAGAACCAGCACACAUCCUAAUUUUAAACACAAUUAACUCUACCGUUGAAUCCAAUUGUACGACUAAUAUUUCCAUAAAGGGAUCUGCUCUAAUCACUUUCAAUAAUUGCGAAGUCUAUAUCAACCGAAUUCCUUAUGACAAAGAUUUAUUACAAUUUUAGGAAAAGAUAGAAGCUACAAUUCCGGUUAUUCAAAACAUUAACUUCACCGAUCAUAUUGAAGAUAUUAAAUUACACAACCUAAACUUACGAUCCAUCAAUGCUUCCAAUUUAAUCAUAUACUGGAAAAAGUUUACGACCACCAGUUUCGGAGCUGUGUAUCUAUUAUUAUUAGUUGGAGUCUUGGCAUCGAUCCUGUGGAUCAACACAAAAAAUAAGAUUGUAUUCGCUACCAUACCAAAACCGAGUUUCGUGACGUCCACUCCUUCGUUUUAGCCGUCACUUCAAUCCAAGAGGGGAGGAGUUACCGACCAGUCGGUAGGCAACGAACCUCCAGCCAAACCUCCCAGAGCUACCCUACGCCGACUGGGCGACCACUUGAACCCACACAUUUUGCUGCAAGAUGCCCUGACCCCUCGCCACAGGAAAUAUGACACAAGCGGACACUUCGAACGGAUUGCUGUAUAAACAUUUCUUUAUUUCAUCUUGUAUUAGUGUAUAAGCCCUUAUGUAUAGCAUAUAAGAUUUUUAUGUACACUUUUGGCAGCGGCGGCUUCUCGGCCACCGCUGAACAAUAUAUGAAGUCACUCUAGAAAUUCACUUCAAACAUA